GGCAGCUAAGACCGGCCGGAUUGCGCAUCAUCACCCCCCAUUCCCGAUCCCCUCCCCCGAAAUGUGAUUCCCAUUCCGAUAUUAGUUCCUUUUUCUUUCUUUUUGGACAAAAAACCCCUCUGAUCCAACCUGCGAUUGAGUUGCUGUGAAAAUGAAGAAUCCCUUGCCGUUGCCGCCGUCAACCAAAUUUCCGGUGAAAUCCGCCCCAUCUCCUCUUCGGAUCUGCCCUGCUGUGAUUCAUUUUACAGAGCUGCCCUAUUCUUGUUCGUUUUAAUAUGCUUCCUACUCUGGUGAGGCAUAUGUUUUGUUUGGUUUGAUUAUAGCUCUGGGAGAUCGGAUGAUACAUAUGUUUUAGGAUUUUCCAUACAUUUGUUUGGUUUGAUUAUAGUUCUAGGAGAUUGGCUGAUACAUAUGUUUUAGGAUUUUCCAUAAUAAAAAUAAGAACCAAAUGGGAAGUGUCAAAUCAGCACCGGAAGGAGAACUGUAAACUUUGGCUUUAAGAGGUGUCUUACAUGUGACCAACUACUCUUGUGUGGUUGUUUUUGUGGUAUUUAUAUUGUACUGAAUCACUGGUGACUCUGUAAAACCAAUAUGUAAGGAACCUUAUUAGCUCGCUUUGUCUUGUUUUUUA
Molecule: long non-coding RNA, 631 nt
Organism: Nelumbo nucifera (sacred lotus)
Lineage: Eukaryota; Viridiplantae; Streptophyta; Magnoliopsida; Proteales; Nelumbonaceae
Source: RefSeq, a predicted model, not a curated record